Molecule: non-coding RNA, 1497 nt
Organism: Ictidomys tridecemlineatus (thirteen-lined ground squirrel)
Lineage: Eukaryota; Metazoa; Chordata; Mammalia; Rodentia; Sciuridae
Source: RefSeq, a predicted model, not a curated record
AAGAUAGGACAUAUGCUAUAUAACAUAGGUACUGUAGUUCUGCUCAACAACCUACUCUUGUCAGUUAAUCUAGCAUCUCUUAUUAAUCAGUAAUAAAUCAGACACAUUAAUUUUUAUCCUCCCACUGAUGGGUAUUUAAUUAAUUCCAAGUUUUUACUAUUAUAAACAAUAUUACUAUGAAAUCCCUUGGAACUUUUACCUUUCCUUAUUUCUCUAGUCCUUUUUUUGGGGGGGGGGUACUGGAGAUUGAACCCAGGGGCACUUUAACACUGAGCUACAUCCUCAACCUUUUUGAAUUUUUUUAAUUUUGAGAUAGGGCCUCAAACUUGCCUCCGUCUCCGAGUCCCUGCAUUAUAGGUGUGCACCACUUCUCUAGCUCUUUCUUAAUCUGCAUUCUGUGACAUACAGUGAGAUUCAGUAGCCACUAGCCACAUAUGGCCAAGUAGCUCAGCACACAGUAGGCACUCAGUAGCUGUUGACUAUGCCUGUGAGAAGCUUUGCAGAAGUUCCCAGAGGUGCAUUUCGAGUUCGUGCACUUUCCAGACCUUCAUGUCCCCCUGGCCCCAAAGCAAACCAGAUGGUGCAAUGGCCUCUGAAAAUCUGGAGCCUGAAGCUAUAGCCCGCAACUUCCAUGCAGGGCAUUUUUGUCUUGUUUUGUUUCCAGAAUAAUUACACAUUUUGAAUCUCACCACAUGUUACGUUUAUGGACCACCUCCUGGGUGCCUGGCCCUGCACUAGGCGCCAAACCUGUUGCAGGCCUGAGACGGGCUCAUUUUAUGAGCUCACAAUGGAGCUGUUGUGGCAACCGUGGGUAAAGGGGAUAUCGCUGUUCGUUAAGGCUGGUCCCCAGCCCUAGGCACAGUUUCACUGGGAUGGAGGCCCAUGAGAUGUCGAGCCCGUUCUGUGCCUUAACCCCUCCCGUCCCCAUCCUGCUGAGGGAAGAGCUUGCCCGGCCAUCUUGCCUAAAAUCACCCCCCCUCACCUUUAUAGAGUGAUGGUGAAAACAGCUGUGGGCUUCACAAUGUCCCUGCUCAGAAGCCAGCGGAAGACUGGAUGCCCUACAUCUUUGUGAUGAGUUCUUUUUGUAGACAGAAUUUGACUCACCUGUCGACCAGGGGAUUCAGCUCAGUUAUCUCCAGCAAAGGUUGAAGGAAAGGGGUAAAAGCUGUGUGGAGCCUGUCUAGACGGUAGUUAGGCAGCUUCGUCUUUUGUAGCUACUGCCCCACCCACCAAAAAAAAAAGAAUAAAAUCAAACCAUGGAAACGAUGAAAAGAUGUCCCAAGAACCACAAAGCUUCAAGACCAUUUCGUACAGAAUAGAAUAUCUCAGCCACAUAGAGGAAGGAGUAGAGCUUCAUUCCAGCCAUCCCAAGAGGAUCGAUAAGUGAUUCAGCCUGCUUUCCAUUUUAACCUUGUUGUGGCUGAAAAUGUGGCCCACCAUGUACAGAGCCAUGGAAACCACCGUUCUGCCUCUGCUGAAGGCAAUGGACUUGAGUAA